RNAcentral lists this ribosomal RNA (495 nucleotides) under Daphnia cf. similis USA_AAK-M4. Its description in RNAcentral is "partial small subunit ribosomal RNA". Lineage: Eukaryota; Metazoa; Arthropoda; Branchiopoda; Diplostraca; Daphniidae. The record is from RNAcentral.
GGUUAGACGAAGAAUCUAAAUAGAAUAGACUAUUAUUUAAUUAACAGUAAAUAAGAUAAAGUAAAAUUAUCUCUUUCCUUAGGUGAAAUUUAUAUAAAGAAGUGACGUAUCUUUAUCUAUUAAGAGGAGUUAAAAAAUGGAGAUAAAAAACCAGGAUUAGAUACCCUGUUAUUCUUCACUAUAAUUAAUAGGGUAGUAAAAGUUAUUCUUCAAACCCAAAGAUUUUGGCGGCAUUUUAACCAAACAGAGGAGCUUGUCUCGUAAUCGAUAAUCCUCGUUGUAUCUUACCUUUAUUUGUUUAGCUUGUAUACCUCCGUUGUCAGAUUACUCUAAAAGGAUGUUUUCUGAAAAAAUAAUUUUUUUACUUCAGGUCAAGGUGCAGUUUAUGUAAAGGUAUAGAUGAGCUACAAUUUUUAAAAAAAUACGAAUAUUUAAUUAAAAUUUAAUUGAAGGUGGAUUUGUUAGUAAAUUUUUUUAAGAAAAAUUAAUUGAAUA